GGAAGCGUGGCCGAGCGGUUGAAGGCAGCAGUCUUGAAAACUGCAGUACCGGAAACGGUACCGAAGGUUCGAAUCCUUCCGCUUCCG
Molecule: transfer RNA, 87 nt
Filed under: Candidatus Moraniibacteriota bacterium
Lineage: Bacteria; Candidatus Moraniibacteriota
Description: Candidatus Moranbacteria bacterium tRNA-Ser
Rfam family: tRNA
About the family: Transfer RNA (tRNA) molecules are approximately 80 nucleotides in length. Their secondary structure includes four short double-helical elements and three loops (D, anti-codon, and T loops).
Source: RNAcentral